Peromyscus californicus insignis is the source of this 1380-nucleotide long non-coding RNA. RefSeq lists it as uncharacterized. Lineage: Eukaryota; Metazoa; Chordata; Mammalia; Rodentia; Cricetidae. The transcript has 3 exons. The record is from RefSeq and is a predicted model, not a curated record.
GGGGCAAGAGAAAGGGGGAGAAUUUUCUAGUCUGGGGUUCAGCGGCAGCGUGAGCUGAAGGGGGGCCUGGCCAACUCACGCUCCCCAUGGAACAGCAGACUUUCUGUUGGAGCGAGUCAGUGUACCUUCUCCCCUGACUCACUGGGAGCAUGUCCUGUGGAAGGAUCUAGAAUGUUUUCUUUCUUCUUGCUCAGGGCACACCAGGCAGAACCAGCCAGGAGGGAAGAACAUUUGGCGCCAGGACUUAGUCACAGGUGCAGGAGACCUAGAACAUUCUGUGUCUAGAGAAGUGAGCCCUUGGCUUGGCUUGGCUGGCUGCCAGCUUGCUGCAAACAGAACCAGACUCUUAGGGGCCUAGUGUGAGCCCGAGCCUAAGGCUUCCCUCCAGCUUGUCCUGGGCUUUAUACCCCACCUCUUCUCAGCCUCAGAAGCCAGGGGAGUCCCCACAGGCUCCCUCUGCUCCAGCCUUGUUCCUGUCAUCUCUGUGCUGUGUGGCUCUGAAGCUGCGCUCCUGACCCAGGCUGACUGGCGGUUCCUUCCAUCCUCUGGGCUGCAAAUAUCUGUGGACCUUGGUGUCGGUUACCAGACACCAGCCUGGAAGAUAUGAGGCCGAGCUUCAGCAGCCUUGUUGCCACCAUGAGGAGAGAGCCCAUCUGAAGGCAUCAGGCAGAAGUAACAGACCUGCAGCCAUGGCAGAGAUGUGACAAGAGGUGAGGAGACCACCGUGGGAACCAUCCAGGUUGUGAGGGUGGCAGCUUGACCAUAAGCUCUGAAGCAACCCUCUGAGGGUCCAAAGCCACCAAGCAAUAGAGCCCCACGAAAUGUGCUGUCUGCACAAUGUACCACCUGGCUUUGUGCGGAGUCCCCCACCACGACUCGGGCUGCUGGAAUUCUCAGGGUGGAAACCUCUCCAGUCACACUUGACUGCCAUGAGACCUCCCCUUAGACACCUCAGGAGACAGGACAGGCUGGAUAUGGAAAGAGGGAAGGGCUACUCCAUGGAGCUCUCUGGCUGCUCCUCCAGAAGCUCUGAUGGAACUGCAGAACCAAGGCCCCAGCAGAGAAGUAGUUACUGCCCAGGAGCAAAUGGAUCCCAGGAGGAGUCCUGUAUGCAGGCUAAUGGGCUACCCUGGGCUCACAUAGAGAAGAAGGGAAAUUACAAGCUUGAAAAGAUCAGGUGGCUGGGGAGCCAGCAGGUGCCUCCACCCCAACUCCACAGUGGCCAAGGCAGGAAUGUGGCCUCACCCCCACCCCAGUCACCCCAAAUCAGAGCUGCCUUGAAUCCAAGGAUCAGAGCUACCAGAGCCCACUCAGCUCAAAGGAGCUCCUGAGACCUGACCAGCCAGGCAUGGCUCCCAAUUAAAAAUGCAUCGAUUGUUA